GUCUCCUGAAUUUGUCGAGAGCCCAAGCUGGUUUACAGAGUCACUUUACAGAGAGCCUAAGGCACUCUGGCUCUAUGAACCCGUCACCAUAUCAGGCUUUUGGUAGAGUUAUUUUGUGAACUAGCUCAGGCUCUCGGCAGGGUUGGGAGA
This 150-nucleotide microRNA precursor is filed under the name Gossypium raimondii (Peruvian cotton). RNAcentral's name for it is "miR8682 stem-loop (gra-MIR8682)". Lineage: Eukaryota; Viridiplantae; Streptophyta; Magnoliopsida; Malvales; Malvaceae. The record is from miRBase by way of RNAcentral.